Molecule: RNA transcript, 542 nt
Organism: Zea mays
Lineage: Eukaryota; Viridiplantae; Streptophyta; Magnoliopsida; Poales; Poaceae
Gene name: cinnamyl dehydrogenase pseudogene
Exons: 3
Source: RefSeq, marked validated
CUUUUACCUCUUGUAGUCUCACUAUUUCAGGUUCUGCUUCAAAAUACCUUAUAGGUACCCUUUGGCGAAGACAGUGCCACUGAUGUGUGCUGGAUUCACCGUAUAUACGCUCAUGAUUCGGCACAGCAUGAACCAACCAAGUAAAUCACUUGGCGUAGGCGUAAUUGGACUGGGUGGAUUGGGCCACAUGGACUUCAAAUUUGGGAAGGCAUUUUGGUUGAAGGUCACCGUUUUUAGACGAGUGAAUCGAAGAGAGCUCAAGCCAUUAAUCUCCUCGGCGCAGAUACUUUUGUCAUAUCAUUUGACGAGAAAUAGAUGGAGUUUGACACUGUUGUGGGUAACCACCCAUUCGAUCCCUACCCAUCGCUUCUGAAAGCUGGUGGUAUAUUGACGAUGGUUGGCUUUCCAAGUGAACUCAACGUGCAUCUUUGGAGGUGGAGGAACCAAUGGGAUCCAUGAAAUGCUGAACUUUUGUGCAUCAAACAAAAUAUAUCCAAAGAUCGAGGUCAUUAAAAUGGACAAUAUCAACGAGGCUCUCGAGA